RNAcentral lists this ribosomal RNA (459 nucleotides) under uncultured bacterium. RNAcentral's name for it is "partial 16S ribosomal RNA". It matches the Rfam family "Bacterial small subunit ribosomal RNA", at positions 338 to 795 of the family's 1533-position model. The record is from RNAcentral.
CCUACGGGUGGCAGCAGUGAGGAAUAUUGGUCAAUGGUCGGGAGACUGAACCAGCCAAGCCGCGUGAGGGAUGAAGGUACAGAGUAUCGUAAACCUCUUUUGUCAGGGAACAAAGGCGGGGACGUGUCCCCGGAUGAGUGUACCUGAAGAAAACGCAUCGGCUAACUCCGUGCCAGCAGCCGCGGUAAUCCGGAGGAUGCGAGCGUUAUCCGGAUUUAUUGGGUUUAAAGGGUGUGCAGGGGGUGUGUUAAGUCAGCGGGCAAAGCCCGGGGCUCAACCCCGGCCCGCCGUUGAAACUGGCAGGCUCGAGUUGGAGAGAGGUAGGCGGAAUGCGCGGUGUAGCGGUGAAAUGCAUAGAUAGCGCGCAGAACGCCGGUUGCGAAGGCAGCAUGCCGGCUCCACACUGACGCUGAGGCACGAAAGCGUGGGUAGCGAACAGGAUUAGAUACCCCGGUAGUC